CACGUAGGGUGCGAGCGUUGUCCGGAAUUAUUGGGCGUAAAGAGCUCGUAGGCGGUGUGUCGCGUCGGCCGUGAAAACCUGCAGCUUAACUGUGGGCUUGCGGUCGAUACGGGGCAUCACUGGAGUUCGGCAGGGGGAGACUGGAAUUCCUGGUGUAGCGGUGAAAUGCGCAGAUAUCAGGAGGAACACCGGUGGCGAAGGCGGGGUCUCUGGG
This 214-nucleotide ribosomal RNA is filed under the name uncultured bacterium. RNAcentral describes it as "partial 16S ribosomal RNA". It matches the Rfam family "Bacterial small subunit ribosomal RNA", at positions 524 to 733 of the family's 1533-position model. The record is from RNAcentral.